UACGUUCCCGGGCUUGUACACACCGCCCGUCACACCACGAAAGUCGGCAAUACCCGAAGCCGGUGGCCUAACCCGUAAGGGAGGGAGCCGUCUAAGGUAGGGUCGAUGAUUGGGGUG
This 117-nucleotide ribosomal RNA is filed under the name uncultured bacterium. RNAcentral describes it as "partial 16S ribosomal RNA". It matches the Rfam family "Bacterial small subunit ribosomal RNA", at positions 1367 to 1482 of the family's 1533-position model. The record is from RNAcentral.